Molecule: transfer RNA, 73 nt
Filed under: Ailuropoda melanoleuca (giant panda)
Lineage: Eukaryota; Metazoa; Chordata; Mammalia; Carnivora; Ursidae
Rfam family: tRNA
About the family: Transfer RNA (tRNA) molecules are approximately 80 nucleotides in length.
Source: Rfam by way of RNAcentral
GCCCGGGUGGCUCAGUGGACAGAACAUGUGACUUUCAAUCUCAGGGUCGUGAGUUCAAGCCCCACAUUGGGCC